Molecule: ribosomal RNA, 509 nt
Filed under: uncultured bacterium
Lineage: Bacteria
Description: bacterial SSU rRNA
Rfam family: Bacterial small subunit ribosomal RNA
Source: RNAcentral
GAUUCUGGCUCAGGAUGAACGCUAGCGGCAGGCCUAACACAUGCAAGUCGCGGGGCAGCACAGGUAGCAAUACCUGGUGGCGACCGGCGCACGGGUGCGUAACGCGUAUGCAACCUGCCCCCAUCAGGGGAAUAGCCCGCCGAAAGGCGGAUUAAUGCCCCAUAGGCCCAGGGCGCCGCAUGGCGCUAUGGGUAAAGCUCCGGCGGAUGGGGAUGGGCAUGCGUGCCAUUAGCUAGUUGGGGCGGUAACGGCGCACCAAGGCGACGAUGGCUAGGGGGUCUGAGAGGAUGGUCCCCCACACUGGUACUGAGACACGGACCAGACUCCUACGGGAGGCAGCAGUGAGGAAUAUUGGUCAAUGGGCGGAAGCCUGAACCAGCCAAUGCCGCGUGCAGGAUGACGGCCCUACGGGUUGUAAACUGCUUUUCCCCGGGAAGAAUAAGCCCCUCGUGAGGGGUGAUGCCGGUACCGGGGGAAUAAGGAUCGGCUAACUCCGUGCCAGCCGCCGC